CCUACGGGUGGCAGCAGUGAGGAAUAUUGGUCAAUGGGCGUAAGCCUGAACCAGCCAAGUAGCGUGCAGGAUGACGGCUCUACGGGUUGUAAACUGCUUUUAUACGGGAAUAACGCGUCUUACGUGUAGUGUUUUGCAUGUACCUUAUGAAUAAGGACCGGCUAAUUCCGUGCCAGCAGCCGCGGUAAUACGGAGGGUCCGAGCGUUAUCCGGAUUUAUUGGGUUUAAAGGGAGCGUAGGCCGCAUGUCAAGUGAGCGGUGAAAUGUCCUGGCUCAACCCGGGCCUUGCAGCGCGAACUGGCGUGCUUGAGUCCGCUGAAGGCAGGCGGAAUUCGUCGUGUAGCGGUGAAAUGCUUAGAUAUGACGAAGAACCCCGAUUGCGAAGGCAGCUUGCUGCAGCGGAACUGACGCUGAUGCUCGAAAGCGCGGGUAUCGAACAGGAUUAGAUACCCUAGUAGUC
Molecule: ribosomal RNA, 460 nt
Filed under: uncultured bacterium
Lineage: Bacteria
Description: partial 16S ribosomal RNA
Rfam family: Bacterial small subunit ribosomal RNA
Source: RNAcentral